This 64-nucleotide ribosomal RNA is filed under the name Gilbertiodendron diphyllum. RNAcentral describes it as "partial 26S ribosomal RNA". Lineage: Eukaryota; Viridiplantae; Streptophyta; Magnoliopsida; Fabales; Fabaceae. The record is from RNAcentral.
AAUGCGACCUCAGCUCAGGCGGGGCUACCCGCUGAGUUUAAGCAUAUCAAUAAGCGAGGAAAAG